RNAcentral lists this unclassified non-coding RNA (342 nucleotides) under soil metagenome. Its description in RNAcentral is "partial contains 5.8S ribosomal RNA, internal transcribed spacer 2, and large subunit ribosomal RNA". The stretch from base 1 to 120 matches the Rfam family "5.8S ribosomal RNA", at positions 35 to 154 of the family's 154-position model. The record is from RNAcentral.
GAUGAAGAACGUAGCGAAAUGCGAUAAGUAAUGUGAAUUGCAGAAUUCAGUGAAUCAUCGAAUCUUUGAACGCACAUUGCGGCCAUAGGUAUUCCUUUGGCCAUGCCUGUUCGAGCGUCAUUUACACCCUCAAGCCUAGCUUGGUGUUGGGCGUCUGUCCCGCCGUUUUCGCGCGCGGACUCGCCUCAAAGUCAUUGGCGGCGGUCGUGCCGGCCCCCUCGCGCAGCACAUUUGCGCUUCUCGGAGGCCCGGCGGAUCCGCGCUCCAGCAAGACCUUUCACGACUUGACCUCGGAUCAGGUAGGGAUACCCGCUGAACUUAAGCAUAUCAAUAAGCGGAGGA